This 320-nucleotide ribosomal RNA is filed under the name uncultured eukaryote. Its description in RNAcentral is "partial 18S ribosomal RNA". It matches the Rfam family "Eukaryotic small subunit ribosomal RNA", at positions 1470 to 1796 of the family's 1831-position model. The record is from RNAcentral.
CCCCUAGAUGUUCUGGGCCGCACGCGCGCUACACUGAACAGUUCAACAAGUCUUAACCUUGGCCGAUAGGUCUGGGUAAUCUUUGAACGCUGUUCGUGAUUGGGAUAGACCUUUGCAAUUAUGGGUCUUCAACGAGGAAUUCCUAGUAAACGCAAGUCAUCAGCUUGCAUUGAUUACGUCCCUGCCCUUUGUAUACACCGCCCGUCGCACCUACCGAUUGAAUGGUCCGGUGAAAUCUCGGGACGGCGGCUUGGUCGCUUGCGUCCGACUGCUGAAACUUGAUUAAACCAUAUCAUUUAGAGGAAGGUGAANUCGUAACA